Molecule: non-coding RNA, 78 nt
Organism: Rhodnius prolixus
Lineage: Eukaryota; Metazoa; Arthropoda; Insecta; Hemiptera; Reduviidae
Source: Rfam
GCAUCUGCAAAUUCAGGUGCCGGGUUUAGUACCCCGGAUAACUAACAAGGCGCAUAACACGCCUACAGCGUGUUUUUU